Long non-coding RNA from Hippocampus comes (tiger tail seahorse), 834 nucleotides. RefSeq lists it as uncharacterized. The transcript has 2 exons. Lineage: Eukaryota; Metazoa; Chordata; Actinopteri; Syngnathiformes; Syngnathidae. The record is from RefSeq and is a predicted model, not a curated record.
GUCAAAGAGGGAAGCGGCCCCUGUCUUCACAUUAUCCCGUUGCUGUUCUCCUCUCUCGGGUCCGAAACGUUUGGCGACAGAAGCUGAAGAGCCGUCACUGAGCCGGCUGGCGAGCACGGCAAGUUGGGAGGAAUUAGAGAACGAACAAAGCCAAAAUUCCAACCCUGGACAGUUGGAGUGGCUCUAAAUUGGAUGGAGGGGAGCUUUAAUGCGAGGAAGGCCAAAGCCGCGAGCGACAGUUGACUGGGCAGAUGAAUGCAAUCCGAUGGCGAGCGGCCACGUCGGAGAGAAAACACGGGAAGUGUUUUUCGGAAUGAAAGACGAGAACCGAAUCUCUUCCUCAGCAAAAGUGGACGCCAUUCGCCCGACUAUUCCCUGUCAAGAUACCAUUGAGCAAGACUCUGAAAUUUAGUGUCAAUUUUUCCAACCGCAAACAGUAACUAAAAAAAAAAAAAAAAAACAGGUCACAAAUUUAGAUGAGCAGAGGGAGAGUCGGAGCGGGAAAAGGCUUGUGGCAGAUGGCAUGUUCAUCGGAGGUCGGAGCAUUAAGGGAUUAAUUACUGAUUUUGAGAGAACUAGUUAGCGUGGAGGAAGGAGGGGAGGAGCUUGGCUGAGGGGAGGAGCCAGCCGGCCGCAUACAUCGGUCUGCAAGUGGAUGCGACCGGCAUCGAAGGCGAGACGAGCAUUCGCAUGUUUAUCAGCCUCCUCUCGUGCUUGUUGCAGAUGUCGGAUCAGGGACGUCCAAAUUGUUUUUUCCCAAGGGUUCACACAAGAGCACUUUUGAUUUGCCUCACGUUCUAAAACCACACCCAUCGGUAUAGAGGGAACGAUGGG